GACGAACGCUGGCGGCGUGCUUAACACAUGCAAGUCGAACGGAAAGGCCCUGCUCUUGUGGGGUGCUCGAGUGGCGAACGGGUGGGUAACACGUGAGUAACCUGCCCUUGACUUUGGGAUAACUUCAGGAAACUGGGGCUAAUACCGGAUAGGAGCUCCUGCUGCAUGGUGGGGGUUGGAAAGUUUCGGCGGUUGGGGAUGGACUCGCGGCUUAGCAGCUUGUUGGUGGGGUGGUGGCUUACCAAGGCUUUGACGGGUAGCCGGCCUGAGAGGGUGACCGGCCACAUUGGGACUGAGAUACGGCCCAGACUCCUACGGGAGGCAGCAGUGAGGAAUAUUGCACAAUGGGCGGAAGCCUGAUGCAGCAACGCCGCGUGCGGGAUGACGGCCUUCGGGUUGUAAACCUCUUUCGCCUGUGACGCAGCGUGAGUGACGGUAAUGGGUAAAAAAGCACCGGCUAACUACGUG
This 468-nucleotide ribosomal RNA is filed under the name uncultured bacterium. RNAcentral's name for it is "partial 16S ribosomal RNA". It matches the Rfam family "Bacterial small subunit ribosomal RNA", at positions 28 to 507 of the family's 1533-position model. The record is from RNAcentral.